UACAUAGGCGGAAAUCUAAGUCAGUGGUGAAAUCCCGCAGCUCAACUGUGGAACUGUCAUUGAUACUGGUUUUCUUGAAUAUAGUUGAGGUAGGCGGAAUGUGUAAUGUAGCGGUGAAAUGCUUAGAUAUUACACAGAACACCGAUUGCGAAGGCAGCUUACUAAACUAUGAUUGACGCUGAGGUACGAAAGCGUGGGGAGCGAACAGGAUUAGAUACACUGGUAGUCC
RNAcentral lists this ribosomal RNA (229 nucleotides) under uncultured bacterium. RNAcentral's name for it is "partial 16S ribosomal RNA". It matches the Rfam family "Bacterial small subunit ribosomal RNA", at positions 568 to 796 of the family's 1533-position model. The record is from RNAcentral.